AUGUUCAUCAAUUGCUGAUUGUUUUCAACUAACCACAAAGAUAUCGGAACACUAUACCUGCUAUUCGGCGCAUUAACAGGGAGAGUAGGCACUGCGUUAAGCCUUCUAAUUCGAGCAGAAUUAGGCCAAUCAGGAACUCUGCUAGAAGAUGAUCAGAUCUACAAUAUUUUUGUUACCACCCACGCAUAUGUCAUAAUCUUCUUUAUGGUAAUACCAAUCAUAAUUGGGGGUUUCGGCAACUAGCUAGUCCCUCUAAUAAUUGGUGCACCCGAUAUGGCAUUCCCCCGGAUAAAUUAUAUGAGCUUCUGACUUCUCCCCCCAUCUUUUCUACUUCUACUUGCAUCUUCAAUAGUAGAAGCUGGCGCUGGAACCGGCUGGACAGUUUAUCCCCCUUUAGCAGGAAACCUAGCACCUGCAGGAGCCUCUGUGGAUCUGAGCAUCUUCUUGCUCCACUUGGCAGGUUUCUCUUCCAUUUUAGGGGCCCUUAACUUUAUUACCACAACUGUUAUCAUAAAACCCCCAGUUAUAUCCCGGUAUCAAACACCGCUUUUCGUCUGACCAGUCCUCAUUACAGCAGUCCUUCUACUCCUUUCCCUCCCAGUCCUAGCCGCCGGCAUUACUAUACUAUUAGCGACUGUAACGUCAACGCUACUUUUUUUGACCCUGCUGGCAGGGGUGACCCCAUCUUGUACCAACAUUUAUUCUGAUUCUUUGGUCACCCUGAAGUCUAUAUCCUAAUCCUACCAGGCUUCGGGUAAUCUCCCACAUCGUAAAGUAUUAUCCUGGAAAAAAGGAACCAUCU
This 802-nucleotide long non-coding RNA is filed under the name Homo sapiens (human). Its description in RNAcentral is "non-protein coding lnc-WISP1-13:1". The record is from RNAcentral. Lineage: Eukaryota; Metazoa; Chordata; Mammalia; Primates; Hominidae.